AGGGUUUGAUCAUGGCUCAGGACGAACGCUGGCGGCGUGCUUAACACAUGCAAGUCGAGCGAUGAAGCACCUUCGGGUGUGAAUUAGCGGCGAACGGGUGAGGAACACGUGAAGAAUCUGCCUUCAACUCUGGGAUAACUCCGGGAAACCGGGGCUAAUACCGGAUAUGAGCCUUGAUCGCAUGAUCGGGGCUGGAAAGUUUUUCGGUUGAAGAUGACUUCGCGGCCUAUCAGCUUGUUGGUGAGGUAAUGGCUCACCAAGGCGACGACGGGUAGCCGGCCUGAGAGGGCGACCGGCCACACUGGGACUGAGACACGGCCCAGACUCCUACGGGAGGCAGCAGUGGGGAAUAUUGGGCAAUGGAGGAAACUCUGACCCAGCGACGCCGCGUGAGGGAUGAAGGCCUUCGGGAUGUAAACCUCUUUCAGUAGGGAAGAAGCGAAAGUGACGGUACCUACAGAAGAAGCACCGGCUAACUAUGUGCCAGCCGCCGCGGUAAUUCA
RNAcentral lists this ribosomal RNA (503 nucleotides) under uncultured Cellulosimicrobium sp. RNAcentral describes it as "bacterial SSU rRNA". It matches the Rfam family "Bacterial small subunit ribosomal RNA", at positions 8 to 527 of the family's 1533-position model. The record is from RNAcentral. Lineage: Bacteria; Bacillati; Actinomycetota; Actinomycetes; Micrococcales; Promicromonosporaceae.